Long non-coding RNA from Eriocheir sinensis (Chinese mitten crab), 501 nucleotides. RefSeq lists it as uncharacterized. The record is from RefSeq and is a predicted model, not a curated record. The transcript is spliced from 3 exons. NCBI's taxonomy places the organism in Eukaryota, Metazoa, Arthropoda, Malacostraca, Decapoda, Varunidae.
CCCGUUACGGAAAGCGGGUGGAUCUGGGAGAGGGAGUUCCCGUCUAAGUACACGGCGGUGAGCGGCUGAAGCUGCGUGUUGAUGAAGUCCUCGAUGAGGGUCCCCGGGAUGCCGUUGUUCUGCAGGUACAGCGUCCUCAGGUUACUGAGCGUGAAGAACACGUUGGGCGGCGUCGUGUCGCCGAGAGCCAUGUUGUUGAGACGCAGCACCUGCAGCUUGGGAGAGCCUAUGAAGACCGUCUCGGUGAGAGUGAUGCCCGUGUUGCCGGAUAAGUCCAGGGUGGUGAGAGCUUCCGUCACGAUGUCCGGCAUGACCCCCGAAAUUUGGUUGUUCGCCAAGUCGAGCUCUAUCAGCCUCACGUACAGGUCCAGCGUCUCGAAGGGGAACUCUCUGAUCUUGUUUCCUCUCAUGUUAAGGCGCACCAGCGUGUUGUGGGAGUUGACGAUCGCCUCUUCCUCCACCGUCUCGAUCAACGUGUUGGUGAUGUCAAUCUUCUCGAAG